Molecule: non-coding RNA, 423 nt
Organism: Danio rerio (zebrafish)
Lineage: Eukaryota; Metazoa; Chordata; Actinopteri; Cypriniformes; Danionidae
Source: RefSeq, a predicted model, not a curated record
UCUUCAUUAAUGGUCUGAGUGCUCAUAUCCCAGACACAUGUGUUGCAGUGUUUAGAUGUGGCACUAGUUACCCACUGUGGAUUCGUGGUGGACACCCAACAGUACAGGAUGGAGUCGUCACUCGAGAUGUCUGUGGUAACACUGGUGGUUUCUGCUGCUAUUACGGCUCUUAUCCUAUUGGAGUCAAAGCCUGUCCAGGAGAUUAUUAUGUCUAUGAGCUGCGCAGUCCAACUUUCUGUAACUCAGCCUACUGUGCAGAUGUUGGCAGUGUUAUCAUCAGCUCUACAGCCGCCACACCGGUGAUCAUCACACCUGAUCCCUGCUACACCUACACUGUGCUGGACGAUCCAUGGAGAGCCGACAGCAGUCAGCCAUCAAAGCCAGUGACCAAGUGUGACACUUCAGUCUCCUGGAGUGGCUGGU